AAUUUUAAUAGCUUAAAUAAAGCUUAAUAUUGAAGAUAUUACGAUAGAUUAAAAUCUUUAAAAUAU
Molecule: transfer RNA, 66 nt
Filed under: Xylometanoeus basivittatus
Lineage: Eukaryota; Metazoa; Arthropoda; Insecta; Coleoptera; Lycidae
Also listed under: 1 other name
Description: tRNA-Phe
Source: RNAcentral